GGGAGCCCGACAUGGGGCUCCAUCCCAGGACCUUGGGAUAGUGACCUGAGCAGAAGGAAUUCUUGCCUAUUUGCCUUGGAUAGAAUCUCCAGUUCAUCAUUGAACAGAAGUGCCAAGAUCAGACCACCUUUUCUUGUUCCUGAUCUUAAGGGGAAAGUUUUCAGUUUUUUUACCGGAGCCCCAAGUCGGAUGGUGGGGAAGAAAUUGACUUUGAGUGGACGCAGGUGCAACAUAUUCAGUAUUAAAGGUAAUUUAAGUUUGUUGAUUUCAUUAAAAU
This is a long non-coding RNA of Ailuropoda melanoleuca (giant panda), 277 nucleotides long. RefSeq lists it as uncharacterized. Lineage: Eukaryota; Metazoa; Chordata; Mammalia; Carnivora; Ursidae. The record is from RefSeq and is a predicted model, not a curated record. The transcript has 3 exons.